CCUACGGGAGGCAGCAGUGGGGGAUAUUGCACAAUGGGGGAAACCCUGAUGCAGCGACGCCGCGUGUGGGAAGACGGUCCUCUGGAUUGUAAACCACUGUUCCCAGGGACGAAAAUGACGGUACCUGGGGAGGAAGCACCGGCUAACUACGUGCCAGCAGCCGCGGUAAUACGUAGGGAGCGAGCGUUGUCCGGAAUUACUGGGUGAAAAGGGAGCGUAGGCGGGGAUGCAAGUUGGGUGUCAAAACUACCGGCUCAACUGGUAGUCGCACUCAAAACUGCAGCUCUUGAGUGAAGUAGAGGCAGGCGGAAUUCCUGGUGUAGCGGUGAAAUGCGUAGAUAUUAGGAGGAACUCCAGUGGCGAAGGCGGCCUGCUGGGCUUUUACUGACGCUGAGGCUCGAAAGUGUGGGGAGCAAACAGGAUUAGAUACCCUUGUAGUC
This 440-nucleotide ribosomal RNA is filed under the name uncultured bacterium. Its description in RNAcentral is "partial 16S ribosomal RNA". It matches the Rfam family "Bacterial small subunit ribosomal RNA", at positions 338 to 795 of the family's 1533-position model. The record is from RNAcentral.